This 253-nucleotide ribosomal RNA is filed under the name uncultured bacterium. RNAcentral's name for it is "partial 16S ribosomal RNA". It matches the Rfam family "Bacterial small subunit ribosomal RNA", at positions 524 to 776 of the family's 1533-position model. The record is from RNAcentral.
UACGGGGGGGGUAAGCGUUGUUCGGAAUUACUGGGCGUAAAGCGCACGUAGGCGGCUUUGUAAGUUAGAGGUGAAAGCCCGGGGCUCAACUCCGGAACUGCCUUUAAGACUGCAUCGCUUGAAUCCAGGAGAGGUGAGUGGAAUUCCGAGUGUAGAGGUGAAAUUCGUAGAUAUUCGGAAGAACACCAGUGGCGAAGGCGGCUCACUGGACUGGUAUUGACGCUGAGGUGCGAAAGCGUGGGGAGCAAACAGG